AUCAUUAUCUACUAUUCUUUGCGCAUGUGCGAUGUUAAGAGACGAGCUCACUGAAGAAAAAGUUUCCUGUAACAGUAUUCCUGAGAUGAUAGGACACCUGUUCAGUUCCUCCCCAGUGACGGGUUCUCAAGGGUGAGUGGGCAACUCUGGCGAAUUAGCGGAAACACAAGAGAAAAACAAGUGGAGCGUGUAAACUCACUGGCAGCGCUCAUGAAAGCGACAGUUCUUUUCUUCCAGUACUAUUGUGCUGGAAUGCUUUUGUGGAAUGGAGAAUCUCAUCACUGUGGGCCGAAUGUAGGAGUUGGCCUCGACUGGCUUGUAUUUAUCUAAAAAAACAGUUAUAUGAUUCACUCACUUUGAUCUCUACUGUAUUGGGAACUUGUGCAUCAGAGGAAUUCGCUUAGGCUGAAUUUAUCAUCGGAUGUAAACACAUUCUUUCCAAAAAAAGACAGUUAUCCAUUUAAUAAGGACAAUUAUGU
Molecule: long non-coding RNA, 479 nt
Organism: Cyprinus carpio carpio
Lineage: Eukaryota; Metazoa; Chordata; Actinopteri; Cypriniformes; Cyprinidae
Source: Ensembl